This is a long non-coding RNA of Selaginella moellendorffii, 877 nucleotides long. RefSeq lists it as uncharacterized. The transcript has 3 exons. NCBI's taxonomy places the organism in Eukaryota, Viridiplantae, Streptophyta, Lycopodiopsida, Selaginellales, Selaginellaceae. The record is from RefSeq and is a predicted model, not a curated record.
UGUCUCCUUUUGCUAACAGUCAGAUAUAUGGGAACUAUUACUGGAAUUGACGAUAUCGAUGCAGCUCGAUGGCUCUAAAUGGCGCUUCCUAAAGGUAAAGAGUCUUGUCUUCUAUAUAGGUCGGUUGGGACAAGCACGCGGCUAGCAAAAGACAGGAGAUAGAGCCCCAAUGUGAGGCCAAGGGAAAAAUUUCCCUACAGCUCUCUAUUCUGAGGCUAAGAUAACUCCAAGAGUUACUGAGGGUCACAGUGUUCCUGGUUUUCUUUCUGGAUUUCCAAGUCCCGGAAACGAGGGGCUACCAUCUCAUCAUAAAGUCGAUAUGCACCAGCAGCAGCUUAGGCUUUGCGUUCAGCAGUUUCGAGAGCAGAAGGUUCCUCCACAAUUCUAGAGACUGCAGCAGCCUUCUCCAACCAGCAGCUUCGCUUAUUGGCAAGCAGCAUUAAGUUGCCCAGUCUACUUGCAGCCUCAACUACAACAGACAACUCUUUUCUUAAGCAUCUCAUGCCUCACAGAGGUGAGGAGCCCCUUGCGAGAGGUAAUGCAAACGAUUCUCACUGCAAGUGCAAACUAUUUGGUUUCUCGUCUCGUUGAAACCAAAGACAGCUUUGGCCAGCACCGCCAAAGACAACGUCCACAAGGAUCUCGAGUUGGAAACUUCCGGCUUCAGGAAGUGUUUUACUGGCCAGAACCGGAACCAGCAGCAGCAACAACAGCAACCAAGCAGGACGUGCACCAAAUUCACAAACAGGGUGCAGUGUGACGAGCUUUGGACUUGUCCAAGUUUUGGGGAUUAUACAUGCAACACGCAACUUCUGGAGGAGCUGCAGCAUCUGUUCGGCAUUAACGAGAACCUGAACGUGUGUACGUAGAUAAUGAA